UACGGGGGGGGCAAGCGUUGUUCGGAAUUACUGGGCGUAAAGGGCCAGUAGGCGGCCAACUAAGUCCGACGUGAAAUCCCAAGGCUUAACCUUGGAACUGCGUCGGAUACUGGAUGGCUUGAAUUCGGGAGAGGGAUGCAGAAUUCCAGGUGUAGCGGUGAAAUGCGCAGAUAUCAGGAGGAACACCGGUGGCGAAGGCGGGUCUCUGGGCCGUAACUGACGCUGAGGAGCGAAAGCAUGGGGAGCGAACAGG
This 253-nucleotide ribosomal RNA is filed under the name uncultured bacterium. RNAcentral describes it as "partial 16S ribosomal RNA". It matches the Rfam family "Bacterial small subunit ribosomal RNA", at positions 524 to 776 of the family's 1533-position model. The record is from RNAcentral.